GCAAGAGGCCUUAUACAAAAGCUACCCCUCUGCCAAAUUUCCAGCCCUAGCUCCAAAGCAAGAAAUACUAAAACUUCUCAACUGAACAGUUAGUUUUGGUUCAGAAAAAUGUUUGAGAUGUCUAUCUUUCAUCCUGCUUCAGGACAGGGGAAAACUUCAAAAUCUCAAAAACUAUUUCCCACCCAGCUCAACUAAGCAACUUGCCCAAGACCACACAACAGAAAGAUGAAACGUUUCUUGCAAGCCAGAAGAGAAAGAAAGCGGAAUACAAAGCUGAAAGAGAAUACAGACAACAAUAAAAGACAGUUAUUAAAUUUGUGAACUCUAUCAGAGGACAAGAAAAUAAACUAUAUGACUGACUAGAAGGGUACUGAAGUAUGACAUUUCAUUUUCAUGCAGCUCUCCACAUGAUAAAGAUUUUCAUGUAGAAUCUACAGCAGAUGGAACUGAAGCAGAAGCAGACUUUUAAAAUUGGCAAGUUGGGUGAUGAGCGGAAAGAAGCAUGACAGAAACAUAUUCUAGCAGAAAAGCUUUCCUCUUACAGUGAAACAGGUCAACUUCCACAGGGACUGAAAAAUAUUUUACUAAGAUAAAAACAGUUUGUCCCUAAAGAAACUGAAAAUAUGCUCUGUUUUAUUUUAGCAGAAGGUGCAAUCAGAGCUUAAACCAUAUGCAGCAUAUUUUUCAUUGCCAAAGGAGAUAACUACUGUUCUGUUACAAGCCACAUGCCUGUAUUAAAUACUAGCAAAGUCAUAUAAAGAAACUCUUAUUACUAGUGUUUGUAGAUUUCAUUUGAAAGCAGAAUCAUGUGUAGGAAUUGGGGUCAAUUUACCCUGGAGGUAACUCCCUGAUCCAAAUACAGUUAUGUUACGAA
Mauremys mutica (yellowpond turtle) is the source of this 874-nucleotide long non-coding RNA. RefSeq lists it as uncharacterized. NCBI's taxonomy places the organism in Eukaryota, Metazoa, Chordata, Testudines, Geoemydidae. The record is from RefSeq and is a predicted model, not a curated record. The transcript has 4 exons.